AGAGGAGUCAGAUUCUGAUUCAGAAUCUGAAUCUGAACCAAGUGAUGAGAGCGAAGAAUCAUCACCUGCAGAGAAGGAGAAGAAAAAGAAAAAAACAAAAACAACA
This is a non-coding RNA of Arachis ipaensis, 106 nucleotides long. The record is from RefSeq and is a predicted model, not a curated record. Lineage: Eukaryota; Viridiplantae; Streptophyta; Magnoliopsida; Fabales; Fabaceae.